GACAGAGGGGGCAAGCGUUGCUCGGAAUUACUGGGCGUAAAGGGCGCGUAGGCGGGAUGGCAAGUCGGUCGUGAAAGCCUCCGGCCCAACCGGAGAACGGCGAUCGAAACUGCUGUUCUUGAGGGUAGCAGAGGAGACUGGAAUUCCCGGUGUAGCGGUGAAAUGUGUAGAGAUCGGGAGGAACACCGGUGGCGAAGGCGGGUUUCUGGGCUACCCCUGACGCUGAGGCGCGAAAGCGUGGGGAGCAAACGGG
This 253-nucleotide ribosomal RNA is filed under the name uncultured bacterium. Its description in RNAcentral is "partial 16S ribosomal RNA". It matches the Rfam family "Bacterial small subunit ribosomal RNA", at positions 524 to 776 of the family's 1533-position model. The record is from RNAcentral.